This 1965-nucleotide ribosomal RNA is filed under the name human gut metagenome. RNAcentral's name for it is "bacterial LSU rRNA". It matches the Rfam family "Bacterial large subunit ribosomal RNA", at positions 236 to 2280 of the family's 2925-position model. The record is from RNAcentral.
UCCGCUAGUAGUGGCGAGCGAACGCGGAAGAGGCCAAACCGGAGGUAGCAAUAUUUCCGGGGUUAGGACUGCAAUAUGUAACUUUAAUCUUUAACUGAAUGCUUUGGGAAGAGCAGCGAAACAGGGUGACAGCCCCGUAAGUGAAAGAGAUUGAGUGCUAGCAGUAUCCAGAGUACCAGCGGACACGUGAAACCCGCUGGGAAGAUGGGGGGACCAUCCUCCAAGCCUAAAUACUACUCAGUGACCGAUAGUGGAGCAGUACCGUGAGGGAAAGGUGAAAAGUACCCCGGGAGGGGAGUGAAAAAGAACCUGAAACCUUGUGCCUACAAGCACCGAGAGCACGUUAAAGUGUGAUCGGGUACUUUUUGUAGAACGGUCCGGCGAGUUAUAUUUGCGAGCGAGGUUAAGUAACUGGAGUUACGGAGCCGCAGCGAGAGCGAGUCUGAAUAGGGCGUAUGAAGUUGCAGGUAUUAGACCCGAAACCGGGUGACCUAUCCAUGAGCAGGCUGAAGCGGUGGUAAGACACCGUGGAGGGCCGCACCCACGUCUGUUGAAAAAGCCGGGGAUGACUUGUGGAUAGCGGAGAAAUUCCAAUCGAACUCGGAGAUAGCUGGUUCUCCCCGAAAUAGCUUUAGGGCUAGCGUUAUUUUAGAUUACCGGAGGUAAAGCACUGAAUGGUCUAGGGGCCGCGAGGUUACCAAAGCCUAUCAAACUCUGAAUGCCGGAUAAUUGAUGAAUAGCAGUCAGACUGUGUGAGAUAAGUCUCAUAGUCAAAAGGGAAACAGCCCAGAUCUACAGCUAAGGUCCCAAAUGAACACUAAGUGGAAAAUGAUGUGAAACUGCGAAGACAACCAGGAUGUUGGCUUAGAAGCAGCCACUCAUUCAAAGAGUGCGUAAUAGCUCACUGGUCGAGUGGUUUUGCGCAGAAAAUGUAACGGGGCUAAGUGUUCAACCGAAGCUUAGGCAUUGCAGUAAUGCAUUGGGUAGGGGAGCGUCGUAUGCGGGGCGAAGUCAGAGCGGAAGCACUGGUGGACUGCAUACGAGUGAGAAUGCCGGAAUAAGUAGCGAGAAUUAUGUGAGAAUCAUAAUGGCCGAAAAUCUAAGGUUUCCUGGGGAAGGUUCGUCCGCCCAGGGUUAGUCGGGAGCUAAGCUCAGGCCGAGAGGCGUAGGCGAUGCACAUACGGUAGAAAUUCCGUAACCACCGAACUUUAAGCUAGAGGGACGCUUUCUUCAAGGUUAUCCCGGGCGAUGGUUGCCCCGGGCGUAAGGGACCGAAAUUUAGUAGGGAAGUAACUGGCGAGAGAGACGAGAAAAGCUCUAGUGUAUACUAAGGUGCCCGUACCGCAAACCGACACAGGUAGAAGAGGAUGAGAAUUCUAAGGCCAACGGGAGAAGGGUUGUUAAGGAACUCGGCAAAUUGGCCCCGUAACUUCGGGAUAAGGGGCGCCUGCGAGAGCAGGCCGCAGUGAAAAGGCCCAAGCGACUGUUUAGCAAAAACACAGCUCUCUGCUAAAUCGAAAGAUGACGUAUAGGGGGUGACGCCUGCCCGGUGCUGGAAGGUUAAGGGGAGUGCUUAGCGCAAGCGAAGGUGCGAACUUAAGCCCCAGUAAACGGCGGCCGUAACUAUAACGGUCCUAAGGUAGCGAAAUUCCUUGUCAGGUAAGUUCUGACCCGCACGAAUGGCGUAACGAUUUGGGCACUGUCUCAACAGCCCGCCCGGCGAAAUUGUAGUACCGGUGAAGAUGCCGGUUACCCGCAACUAGACGGAAAGACCCCAUGGAGCUUCACUGUAGCUUGAUAUUGGACUUCGGUAUUCCAUGUACAGGAUAGGUGGGAGGCUAGGAAGCGAGCGCGCCAGCGUUCGUGGAGCCGUCCUUGGGAUACCACUCUUGGGAUAUUGGAGUUCUAACCUGCGACCAUGAAUCUGGUCGGGGGACAUUGUCAGGUGGGCAGUUUGACUGGGGC